This is a regulatory RNA element of 104 nucleotides. It matches the Rfam family "PyrR binding site". From Rfam's summary of the family: This family represents the PyrR binding site and terminator structure. This RNA structure is found upstream of a variety of genes involved in pyrimidine biosynthesis and transport. The record is from Rfam.
CAUCCCUUUUAAGCGCAGUCCCGCGAGGCUGCAAAAGGGACAGAAUAGGCGAAGACUAUCUCUGUACCCUCUUUGCACCCUCAAGGGCAAAGAGGGUUUUUUAU